RNAcentral lists this ribosomal RNA (468 nucleotides) under uncultured bacterium. RNAcentral describes it as "partial 16S ribosomal RNA". It matches the Rfam family "Bacterial small subunit ribosomal RNA", at positions 28 to 507 of the family's 1533-position model. The record is from RNAcentral.
GACGAACGCUGGCGGCGUGCUUAACACAUGCAAGUCGAACGGAAAGGCCCUGCUUUUGUGGGGUUCUCUAGUGGCGAACGGGUUAGUAACACGUUUGUAACCUUCCCUUUACUUUGUUAUAACUUCAUGAAACUGUUUCUAAUACCUGAUAUGUGCUCCUGCUUCAUGGUGUGGUUUGGAACGUUUCGGCGGUUGGUGAUUUUCUCGCGUCUUAUCAGCUUUUUUGUGGGGUAGUGGCUUACCAAGGCUUUGACGGGUAGCCGGCCUGAGAGGGUGACCGGAAAAAUUGGGAAUGAGAUAAGGAACAGAAUACUACGGGAGGAAGGAGUGGGGAAUAUUGCAAAAUGGGCGGAAGCCUGAUGCAGAAAAGCAGCGUGCGGGAUGAAGGCCUUCGGGUUGUAAAAAGAAUGCGAAUGUGAAGAAGCGUGAGUGACGGUAAUGGGUAAAGAAGCACCGGCUAACUACGUG